RNAcentral lists this ribosomal RNA (373 nucleotides) under uncultured organism. Its description in RNAcentral is "bacterial SSU rRNA". It matches the Rfam family "Bacterial small subunit ribosomal RNA", at positions 525 to 896 of the family's 1533-position model. The record is from RNAcentral.
CAGAGGGGGGCAAGCGUUAUUCGGAAUUAUUGGGCGUAAAGGGCGCGUAGGCGGCUUUGCAAGUGACGGGUGAAAUCCCUCGGCUUAACCGAGGAACUGCCUGUCAAACUGCAUGGCUUGAGACCGGGAGAGGUGAGUGGAAUUCCCAGUGUAGCGGUGAAAUGCGUAGAUAUUGGGAGGAACACCAGUGGCGAAGGCGGCUCACUGGACCGGUACUGACGCUGAUGCGCGAAAGCGUGGGUAGCAAACAGGAUUAGAUACCCUGGUAGUCCACGCCGUAAACGAUGAGUGCUUGGUGUAGCGGGUAUCGACCCCUGCUGUGCCGAAGUCAACACAUUAAGCACUCCGCCUGGGGAGUACGGUCGCAAGGCUG